UGUGCAAGCUGGCUUGUCGCUGUUUCGAAUAUCGGAAGAGAGGAAAGUCCGGGCAACAAAGAGCGCCAUACUUCCUAACGGGAAGGGAUCAUAUUGGAAACGGUAUGGUUACAGAAAGUGCCACAGAAAAUAUACCGUCCUGUCCUGAUAGCUAUCGGGAUCGGGAUAAGGGUGAAAUGGUGGGGUAAGAGCCCACCGUGCUGAUGGUGACAUCAGUAGCAGGGUAAACCUUAUGGGUUGAAAGACCAAAUAGGCUCCGAUCUAAGGGCUGCUCGUCCAAAUUUCUCUUUGCGAAGAGAAAUCAUCGGAGUGGGUAGGUUGAUGGAUUCCGAUUGUGAAGUCGGAACUAGAUAAAUGACAGGCAGUUUGAUUGGGAAACCAAUAGGACUACAGAACCCGGCUUAUAGGCUUGCACAUUUU
Molecule: RNase P RNA, 420 nt
Filed under: Belliella filtrata
Lineage: Bacteria; Pseudomonadati; Bacteroidota; Cytophagia; Cytophagales; Cyclobacteriaceae
Description: RNase P RNA component class A
Rfam family: Bacterial RNase P class A
About the family: Ribonuclease P (RNase P) is a ubiquitous endoribonuclease, found in archaea, bacteria and eukarya as well as chloroplasts and mitochondria.
Source: RNAcentral